AUUGAACGCUGGCGGCAUGCCUUACACAUGCAAGUCGAACGGCGGCACGGGUGCUUGCACCUGGUGGCGAGUGGCGAACGGGUGAGUAAUACAUCGGAACGUACCUUAUCGUGGGGGAUAACGCAGCGAAAGCUGUGCUAAUACCGCAUACGCCCUGAGGGGGAAAGCGGGGGGUCGAAAGACCUCGCGCGAUUAGAGCGGCCGAUGCCUGAUUAGCUUGUUGGCGGGGUAAAAGCCCACCAAGGCGACGAUCAGUAGCUGGCCUGAGAGGACGAUCAGCCACACUGGGACUGAGACACGGCCCAGACUCCUACGGGAGGCAGCAGUGGGGAAUUUUGGACAAUGGGGGCAACCCUGAUCCAGCAAUGCCGCGUGAGUGAAGAAGGCCUUCGGGUUGUAAAGCUCUUUUGUCAGGGAAGAAACACCGGCUCUAACACAGUCCGGGAAUGACGGUACCUGAAGAAUAAGCACCGGCUAACUACGUGCCAGCCGCCGCCGUAA
This 501-nucleotide ribosomal RNA is filed under the name uncultured bacterium. RNAcentral's name for it is "partial 16S ribosomal RNA". It matches the Rfam family "Bacterial small subunit ribosomal RNA", at positions 29 to 523 of the family's 1533-position model. The record is from RNAcentral.